AGUUGUUGCAGUUAAAAAGCUCGUAGUUGGAGUUCAGGGUGAGCUCAGCUGGUCGGCCUAAUGGGUCAGAACUGGUUGACUCUCCCUUGGUUGUGGAUCCCUCCGGAGUUAAUUCUUCGGGUGUGGAGUCCACAUCGUUUACCUUGAAAAAAUUAGAGUGUUCAAAGCAGGCGUUUGCUUGAAUAUAUUAGCAUGGAAUAAUGGAAUAGGACGCUGGUUCUAUUUUGUUGGUUUUGAGAACCAGAGUAAUGAUUAAUAGGGACAGUUGGGGGCAUUCAUAUUUCAUUGUCAGAGGUGAAAUUCUUGGAUUUAUGAAAGAUGAACUUCUGCGAAAGCAUUUGCCAAGGAUGUUUUCAUUAAUCAAGAACGAAAGUUAGGGGAUCGAAGACGAUCAGAUACCGUCGUAGUCUUAACCAUAAACUAUGCCGACUAGGGAUUGGGCGUGGUUUGUUCAUUGACCCGCUCAGCACCUUACGAGAAAUCAAAGUCUUUGGGUUCCGGGGGGAGUAUGGUCGCAAGGCUGAAACUUAAAGGAAUUGACGGAGGGGCACCACCAGGAGUGGAGCCUGCGGCUUAAUUUGACUCAACACGGGAAAACUUACCAGGUCCAGACAUAGUGAGGAUUGACAGAUUGAGAGCUCUUUCUUGAUUCUAUGGGUGGUGGUGCAUGGCCGUUCUU
RNAcentral lists this ribosomal RNA (679 nucleotides) under uncultured eukaryote. RNAcentral describes it as "SSU rRNA". It matches the Rfam family "Eukaryotic small subunit ribosomal RNA", at positions 608 to 1295 of the family's 1831-position model. The record is from RNAcentral.